This 429-nucleotide ribosomal RNA is filed under the name Verrucomicrobiota bacterium. Its description in RNAcentral is "Verrucomicrobia bacterium partial 16S ribosomal RNA". It matches the Rfam family "Bacterial small subunit ribosomal RNA", at positions 355 to 776 of the family's 1533-position model. The record is from RNAcentral. Lineage: Bacteria; Pseudomonadati; Verrucomicrobiota.
UAGGGAAUCUUCGGCAAUGGGGGGAACCCUGACCGAGCAACGCCGCGUGAGUGAAGAAGGUUUUCGGAUCGUAAAGCUCUGUUGUUAAGGAAGAACGAGUGUGAGAAUGGAAAGUUCAUGCUGUGACGGUACUUAACCAGAAAGGGACGGCUAACUACGUGCCAGCAGCCGCGGUAAUACGUAGGUCCCGAGCGUUGUCCGGAUUUAUUGGGCGUAAAGCGAGCGCAGGCGGUUAGAAAAGUCUGAAGUGAAAGGCAGUGGCUCAACCAUUGUAGGCUUUGGAAACUGUUUAACUUGGGUGCAGAAGGGGAGAGUGGAAUUCCAUGUGUAGCGAUGAAAUGCGUAGAUAUAUGGGGGAACACCGGUGGCGAAGGCGGCUCUCUGGUCUGUAACUGACGCUGAGGCUCGAAAGCGUGGGGAGCGAACAGG